GGUUUGGAUCAUGGCUCAGAUCGAACGCUGGCGGAUGUUUACACAUGCAGUCGAACUGGCAGCACGGGAUUGGUCUGGAGGCGAGUGGCGAACGGGUGAGUAAUGUGAUUGAACGUGCUCAGUAUGGGGAUAACUACGCGAAAGUGUAGAAGCGACAUCGCACAUUAUUCUUCUCGGGGAAAGCGGGGACUCGGGCCUCGCACUAUUAGAGUGGCCGAUAUCGGAUUAGCUAGCGGUGGGUGAAUGGCUCAACACAUGACGAUCCGUAGCUGGUCGGAGAGGACGACCAGCCACACUGGGACUGAGAGAUGACGGCCCGACUCCCGCACGGGGAAGGGCGCAGUGGGGAAUUUUGGACAAUGAGUGAAACCCCGAUCCAGCCAUCCUGGCGUGCGAUGAAGGCCUCGGGUUGUAAAGCACUUUGGCAGGAAAGAAAAACGGCAUGGGGAUAAUACCCGUGCAACCGACGGUACCUGCAGGAAGAAGCAGACUCAAUAACUACGUGCCAGCAGCCAUAAUACGUAGUGCUAUUAAUCGAAUUACUUGGCGUAAAAGCGGCAAAAGGUGGUUCCAAAAAGAAAGAUGCGGAAAUCCCAGCUUUAACUUUGAACUACAUUUUUAACUUACUGAGCUAGAGUGUGUCGGAGGGUGAGGUGGAAUUCUCGCGUAGCAGUGAAAUGCGUAGAUAUGUGGAGGAAACACCGAGCUGGCGAAGGCACUUCUGGGAUAACACUGACGUGCUUGCAUCGAAAGUGGGGAGCAAACAGGAUUAGAUACCCCAGUAGUCCACGCUCCCAAACGAUGUCAACGCUGUUGGGGCCUUCUACCUUGGCAAAGCGCAGCUAACGCGUGAAGUUGACCCGCUGGGGAGUACGGUCAAAGAUUAAAACUUCAAAGGAAUUGACGGGGACCUCGCCAAGCGGUGGAUGAUGGGAUUAAUCGAUGCAACGCGAAAAACCUUACCUACCUUUGACAUGUCUGGAAUCCCUGAAGAGAUUUGGGAGUGCUCGCAAGAGAAACUGGAACACAGGUGCUGCAUGGCUGUCGUCAGCCGUGUCGUGAGAUGUUGGGUUAAGUCCCGCAACGAGCGCAACCCUUGUCAUUAUUACGAAAGGGCACCGGGGACGAGACUGCCGGUGACAAACCGGAGGAAGGUGGGAUGACGUCAAGUCCUCAUGGCCCUUAUGGGUAGGGCUUCACACGUCAUACAAUGGUCGGGACAGGCGGGCUCAACCCGCGAGGGAGCCAUCCAGAAACCCGAUCGUAGUCCGGAUCGCAGUCUGCAACCUCGACUGCGUGAAGUCGGAAUCGCUAGUAAUCGCGGAUCAGCAUGUCGCGGUGAAUACGUUCCCGGGUCUUGUACACACCGCCCGUCACACCAUGGGAGUGGGUUUCACGAGUGAGUUAGCCUAACCGUAAGGAGGGCGAUUACCACGGUAGGAUUCAUGACUGGGGUGAAGUCGUAACAAGGUAG
This 1474-nucleotide ribosomal RNA is filed under the name uncultured Bordetella sp. RNAcentral's name for it is "partial 16S-23S ribosomal RNA intergenic spacer". It matches the Rfam family "Bacterial small subunit ribosomal RNA". Lineage: Bacteria; Pseudomonadati; Pseudomonadota; Betaproteobacteria; Burkholderiales; Alcaligenaceae. The record is from RNAcentral.